RNAcentral lists this non-coding RNA (121 nucleotides) under Stenotrophomonas koreensis. RNAcentral describes it as "SAM-I sequence". It matches the Rfam family "SAM riboswitch aptamer (S box leader)". From Rfam's summary of the family: The SAM riboswitch is found upstream of a number of genes which code for proteins involved in methionine or cysteine biosynthesis in Gram-positive bacteria. The SAM riboswitch acts at the level of transcription termination control. The record is from Rfam by way of RNAcentral. Lineage: Bacteria; Pseudomonadati; Pseudomonadota; Gammaproteobacteria; Lysobacterales; Lysobacteraceae.
CCACCAUCAAGACCGGCAGAGGGACAGGCCCGAUGAAGCCGGGGCAGCCAGCGCGACCUUUCGGUCGUGUGUUGGUGCCAAAUCCUGCGGUGUGACCCUGGCGUCACCCGGCAGAUGGUCC